CUCUGGAAACUUAAGGGAAUCAUAAUAUGCCUGAGAAAACAUAAACAAAAAUUAUCUUAAUGACAAAUAAGUGCUUCGGAAAUAAACAAAGGCCAAAAUCUGUUAGAGAUGCCUCUUUCACACUGGAGAGCUACAGGAAGCCUGAGUUUGAAAUCAUUUGGUCCAGACAGAAGAGGAGAAGCAAGGACCGAGUGUCAUGAAGAGGGAAACAUUGCCAGACUGUCAGAGGUUACCUAAUAUCCUUUGAUGGGUUUCCUCCUGUUUCCCUGAAUCUGGGAUGACUGUCCCCUUGAACUGCUCCGGUAUCUUAGCCAAUGGACAAUGUAUUGUUACUCCCCUCCUUAUCUAUUCGUGGUUUUUGCACACAUACCAUGAACUCAUAAGUGUUGAAGGAUCUCGACGUGUAAAAAUAUUUGUAAGAACAAGUUCAGUGACUAGAAAUUUGCUAGCUGGUUUGAAAUAAAGAGAUACACAUAAAACUAUAUUAUGAACUGGGAUCACCCAAAUUAUCUUCUGCAGGACAUUAUUCUACUAGAAAAUAUGGACAAAAUCAUAAGGACAAUUGUCAGUUUGAUGCUGACAAAAUUUUGUAAAAUUCCUUAUAUUAAAACCACUCUUCACUAUUAGCAGGAGACUACACAUGUU
Molecule: long non-coding RNA, 645 nt
Filed under: Homo sapiens (human)
Lineage: Eukaryota; Metazoa; Chordata; Mammalia; Primates; Hominidae
Description: HSALNT0038344
Source: RNAcentral